RNAcentral lists this ribosomal RNA (460 nucleotides) under uncultured bacterium. RNAcentral describes it as "partial 16S ribosomal RNA". It matches the Rfam family "Bacterial small subunit ribosomal RNA", at positions 338 to 795 of the family's 1533-position model. The record is from RNAcentral.
CCUACGGGUGGCUGCAGUGAGGAAUAUUGGUCAAUGGACGAGAGUCUGAACCAGCCAAGUAGCGUGAAGGAUGACUGCCCUACGGGUUGUAAACUUCUUUUAUAUGGGAAUAAAAUGUUCCACGUGUGGGAUUUUGUAUGUACUUUAUGAAUAAGGAUCGGCUAACUCCGUGCCAGCAGCCGCGGUAAUACGGAGGAUCCGAGCGUUAUCCGGAUUUAUUGGGUUUAAAGGGAGCGUAGGUGGGUUGUUAAGUCAGUUGUGAAAGUUUGCGGCUCAACCGUAAAAUUGCAGUUGAUACUGGCAGUCUUGAGUACAGUAGAGGUGGGCGGAAUUCGUGGUGUAGCGGUGAAAUGCUUAGAUAUCACGAAGAACUCCGAUUGCGAAGGCAGUUCACUGGACUGCAACUGACACUGAGGCUCGAAAGUGUGGGUAUCAAACAGGAUUAGAUACCCUUGUAGUC